This 390-nucleotide long non-coding RNA is filed under the name Brassica napus (rape). Its description in RNAcentral is "long non-coding RNA (BNAP_LNC022524)". The record is from RNAcentral. Lineage: Eukaryota; Viridiplantae; Streptophyta; Magnoliopsida; Brassicales; Brassicaceae.
AUAGAGGAUCCAUUUACUAUUUAACAAUUUUUUGUUUGGGUUCGGUUCAGAUAGCUUUGGGUUUGGUUCGGAUUGAUUCCGAUAGUAAAAUUAGGAACCAAAAGAUACCCAAAAUGUUUUGGUCCUCAUUUGGUUUCGGCUCUGGUUCGCUAUUUCAAGUAGUGUAGGUUAAAUAACAUGUAUUUUCGAUAAAAUAACGAAUAAUUAGGAUGAUUUAGAUUAAAAAAUCUGAUAUUUUGGUUACUUUGGAUAAAAAUAUCUGGAUAGUUUCGGAUACGUUCAGAUAGUUCAGAUACUUUACAAUAAUUUAGUCUUUUUCAAAUAUUUUAAAUAUAUUUUUAAAGUGUAUAUAUAUAUAUUUAGCUAUGCUAUAUGUAUAUAUAUAAUUAA